CCCAUGAGGAAUUCUAAGUAAUGACAACAAAGCUCCAUACUGAGAAACACAGAGAAAGUGUAGAGCUGAGAGUCUUAAUUAACUUUGUAGCAACUCAUUUGGCAAUGGCUUGAAUGUAACGGACGUUCCUUAAUAU
This is a long non-coding RNA of Sander lucioperca (pikeperch), 136 nucleotides long. RefSeq lists it as uncharacterized. The transcript is spliced from 2 exons. The record is from RefSeq and is a predicted model, not a curated record. Lineage: Eukaryota; Metazoa; Chordata; Actinopteri; Perciformes; Percidae.